RNAcentral lists this small RNA (994 nucleotides) under Vigna angularis var. angularis. RNAcentral describes it as "Non-protein coding transcript". The record is from RNAcentral. Lineage: Eukaryota; Viridiplantae; Streptophyta; Magnoliopsida; Fabales; Fabaceae.
UGUGGAGGAAAAGUUAGAUAACGAAACAAGAAUGGAUAAAACGAAUUUGAACCUCGAUGAAUCCGAACUUAAUGAAGAAGGGGAUGUUUCAGAAGCAACGCAAAUUGUGAGUGUGGUUUAUGAUAAAUGUGUACUUAUGCAGGAUACCAUGGACGAGGGGGAUGAGGCCACAAAGUUUGUGCCUACUUCUGUGAUAGUAGAAUCUCCAGUGAAUGAGGUAAAUGAUGCUAGGGAUGAGGUAAAUGUUGUGGAGGUAAACCCAGAGACCAAUAAUAUGGAGGAUCAAAGGAAUCUGAACCAUGAUGGAUUUCAACCCGUUGAAAGUAAGAAUGAAUCAGAAUCAACAGAAGUAAUAAGCACUGUUUCUAGUGAUCAUGUAAUUAUGCAAAACAUCGUGGAAGAGGGAGAAAAGGUCAGUGAGUUUGUGCCUGCUUCUGAGAUAGUAGAAUUUCCAAUGAAUGAGGUAAAUGUUGAUAGGGAUGAGGUAGAUGAAGAUCAAAGUAAUUUGAAACAUGAGGAAUCUCAAGCAAUGGAAGGCUGCAAUGUCUCAGAAACUACAGAAUUGGAAGAUGAGGUCACAAAGUUGGUGUUUACUUCUGAAACAGUAGAACCUUGCCAGACUCAUUCUGCUGCUGAGAUUUUGGUUUCUGAAAAUACCAUUGAUACUUCAGUUCUGCAAGAGAUAACAACUCUCCAACAUGAAGAUGACAGUGAUAAACUUAAUUCCAUGAGCAUUGGUGGCGAUGAUGAACUUCAUAAACCUGGGAUUUCAUUGAAGGAACAGGUUGGUAGAGAAGUGAAAACGGAUAUUUGCUGUAGCAGCAGUUCAACAGCAAGUGAUGUGCCUCAAAACAUUGAACAAACUGAUGAGCAUGACAAAGCAGAUGGGCCUGGUUCGUCAGAUUCAGAAAUAGCACCCACAAAUCCUGUUGUUUUCAAGCUGUUUGGGAAGGUAAUGAUGGUUCCUUCAUCAGCAGAGAAGCAUGAUUUAACU